RNAcentral lists this ribosomal RNA (280 nucleotides) under Parasagitta setosa. Its description in RNAcentral is "partial 28S ribosomal RNA". Lineage: Eukaryota; Metazoa; Chaetognatha; Sagittoidea; Aphragmophora; Sagittidae. The record is from RNAcentral. RNAcentral also lists the same sequence under 1 other name.
UGAGGGAAAGCUGCAAAGUACUCUGAAGAGAGAGUUCAAAAGGACGUGAAGCCGUCUGCAGGGAAACGGGUGAGACCGCACGGUAGACCCACGGCGGAUUCAGCUCCGAGGGCAACUUCGGGGUGCACUUCCGCGCCAGUGGGUCGCGCAGGGCCCGGCUCGACGGCCGUCUGAAGCCCGGAGAGGAGGUGACGGGGUUCUUCGGAACUCCGAGUUUAACUCUUCGGCGCGGAGACCGGUUGUUGGGUCGAGGAACGUCCAUCCGUCUUUGACGCGUGGG